RNAcentral lists this ribosomal RNA (460 nucleotides) under uncultured bacterium. Its description in RNAcentral is "partial 16S ribosomal RNA". It matches the Rfam family "Bacterial small subunit ribosomal RNA", at positions 338 to 795 of the family's 1533-position model. The record is from RNAcentral.
CCUACGGGAUGCAGCAGUGAGGAAUAUUGGUCAAUGGACGAGAGUCUGAACCAGCCAAGUAGCGUGAAGGAUGACUGCCCUAUGGGUUGUAAACUUCUUUUAUAUGGGAAUAAAAUGUUCCACGUUUGGGAUUUUGUAUGUACCAUAUGAAUAAGGAUCGGCUAACUCCGUGCCAGCAGCCGCGUUAAUACGGAGGUUCCGAGCGUUAUCCGGGUUUAUUGGGUUUAAAGGGAGCGUAGGUGGAUUGUUAAGUCAGUUGUGAAAGUUUGCGGCUCAACCGUAAAAUUGCAGUUGAAACUGGCAGUCUUGAGUACAGUAGAGGUGGGCGGAAUUCGUGGUGUAGCGGUGAAAUGCUUAGAUAUCACGAAGAACUCCGAUUGCGAAGGCAGUUCACUGGACUGCAACUGACACUGAGGCUCGAAAGUGUGGGUAUCAAACAGGAUUAGAUACCCGGGUAGUC